Molecule: ribosomal RNA, 237 nt
Filed under: uncultured Glomeraceae
Lineage: Eukaryota; Fungi; Glomeromycota; Glomeromycetes; Glomerales; Glomeraceae
Description: partial 18S ribosomal RNA
Rfam family: Eukaryotic small subunit ribosomal RNA
Source: RNAcentral
UUUGGAGGGCAAGUCUGGUGCCAGCAGCCGCGGUAAUUCCAGCUCCAAUAGCGUAUAUUAAAGUUGUUGCAGUUAAAAAGCUCGUAGUUGAAUUUUGGGGUUAGCAGGUUGGUCGUGCCACUGGUACGUACUGGCCUUGUGGAUUCCUCCUUCUUGACGAGCCGUAAUGCCAUUAAUUUGGUGUUGCGGGGAAUCAGGACUGUUACUUUGAAAAAAUUAGAGUGUUAAAAGCAGGCA